RNAcentral lists this ribosomal RNA (966 nucleotides) under Triticum aestivum (bread wheat). Its description in RNAcentral is "partial small subunit ribosomal RNA". Lineage: Eukaryota; Viridiplantae; Streptophyta; Magnoliopsida; Poales; Poaceae. The record is from RNAcentral.
AUGGAUUCUCUCCCGCCGCCGCCGCCGUCGCUGCCGCCGUUUGGCUCGCUGCUCCUGCCCUUGCCAUCCGAUUCGUCACUGCCCUCUCUCCCUUGGCCUGACCUCAUCGCCGGUGCGGCCGGCGCCACCCUCCGCCUCGUCUCCGCCCACUCACGCCACUUCCUCGCCCUCUCCUGCCUCCUCCUCCUGCCGCUCUCGCUCCUCCUCCUCUCCCUCCCCGCGCCCUUCCCCGGCGCCUCUCCUUCCGUCUCCCUCCGAUCCCCGCAAGAUUCUUGGAGCAACCCCCUCUUGCUUCUCGCUCUCGUGGCGGCGGCGCUUCUUUACCUCGCCGCCUUCGCCGCCGCCGCCGCCAGCGCGCACGCCGGAUUCUUCGGCCGCCCCGUCAAGCUCCUCGCCUCGCUCCUCUCCGUUCCCGCGUCCGUUCUCCGCCUCCUCCUCACAGCCCUCCCGGCCUCCCCUCUUCUGCUUAUCCCCCUGCUCCCACUGCCCGCUGCACUUAGCACAGCUAUUGCUCUUCUUGGCGUCUCCCUCUUAGCCCCCUUCUGGUCCCUCGCCGGCGCCGCAGCCAUCGUGGAGUCCGCUGCUGGGCCCUCCGCGCUCCGCCAGAGCUGCCGGCUGCUCUCCGGCGCACGCCUGGCGGCGCUCUCGGCGUUCUUGGUCUUUGCCGCAGGCAUGGGGGUAGUACUCUGGGGUUUCAGUGGGGUGGCCAUGGAGACAUAUGAUGCUGCCACCGGUUGGGCUGGCAUGGCGCCGGCUGUGGUCAAGGCCAUGGUUGGAGCGGCGGUGUUGGCUGCAAUGAUGCUGUAUGGAAUGGUGAUCAACGUGGUAUUGUAUAUGCACUGCCGUGCGCUGCAUGGGGAGCUCACUGGAGAGAUCUACAAUGAAUUUGCAAGCUCAUAUGUCUACCUGCCGUUCGACGAGGGCAAGGAUCGUCAUAUUGUAUCGGUGGUCACACUGUGGCCUUGA